UUCACCAUUUUAAGAGUUUUAGUGAACAAGUUAAAAAAUGGUUGAAUUUCAACCACAAAAUAUAUGGAAAAAUAGCAGCCAUCUUUGCAAGAGAAAUUGUUUGUUUUUUUUUGCAGCUACGCGGUGAAUUCAGCAAGCUGUUUCUUAACUUAUAAGAUGAAGGUUAUCCAAAUUACAAUUAACGCUUGAUCGGAAGAGUGCAAUUGCAAUUGGAAAAUUAUUUAACCUCAUUAGAACGGCACGGACAGAUUUUUCGGCGACUGGCGGUAGCGGCAAACAUCUGAUAGGAACCAUUCUGCUUUGCCAUAUGAUAAAGCAUCUUUCAAGGGUAAUGGUCUGAAAAUUACUUCCCUUCGCUCAUCGAGUUCAAGUCCGAUUUGAAAAGCUGCGAUAGGAAACAUGGGAGGAGCGGUCAGCAUCGAACACCGAAGAUUUCGAUUAAUGAAACCAGAACAAGUUGUCCAU
Long non-coding RNA from Uranotaenia lowii, 465 nucleotides. RefSeq lists it as uncharacterized. The transcript is spliced from 3 exons. The record is from RefSeq and is a predicted model, not a curated record. Lineage: Eukaryota; Metazoa; Arthropoda; Insecta; Diptera; Culicidae.